Molecule: ribosomal RNA, 492 nt
Filed under: uncultured bacterium
Lineage: Bacteria
Description: partial 16S ribosomal RNA
Rfam family: Bacterial small subunit ribosomal RNA
Source: RNAcentral
AGUGAACGCUGGCGGUAGGCCUAACACAUGCAAGUCGAACGGCAGCACAGUAAGAGCUUGCUCUUACGGGUGGCGAGUGGCGGACGGGUGAGGAAUACAUCGGAAUCUACUUUUUCGUGGGGGAUAACGUAGGGAAACUUACGCUAAUACCGCAUACGACCUACGGGUGAAAGCAGGGGAUCUUCGGACCUUGCGCGAUUGAAUGAGCCGAUGUCGGAUUAGCUAGUUGGCGGGGUAAAGGCCCACCAAGGCGACGAUCCGUAGCUGGUCUGAGAGGAUGAACAGCCACAAUGGAAAUGAGACACGGUCCAGACUCCUAAGGGAGGCAGGAGUGGGGAAUAUUGGACAAUGGGCGCAAGCCUGAUCCAGCCAUACCGCGUGGGUGAAGAAGGCCUUCGGGUUGUAAAGCCCUUUUGUUGGGAAAGAAAAGCAGCAGGUUAAUACCCCGCUGUUCUGACGGUACCCAAAGAAUAAGCACCGGCUAACUUCGUG